GCCUUCGUAGUGUAGUGGUCAGCACGCUCGACGCGUAACCGAGAGAUCCGUGGUUCGAUUCCCGGCGAAGGCG
Stegodyphus mimosarum is the source of this 73-nucleotide non-coding RNA. NCBI's taxonomy places the organism in Eukaryota, Metazoa, Arthropoda, Arachnida, Araneae, Eresidae. The record is from Rfam.